This 474-nucleotide ribosomal RNA is filed under the name uncultured bacterium. RNAcentral describes it as "bacterial SSU rRNA". It matches the Rfam family "Bacterial small subunit ribosomal RNA", at positions 335 to 800 of the family's 1533-position model. The record is from RNAcentral.
ACUCCUACGGGAGGCAGCAGUGGGGAAUAUUGGACAAUGGGGAACCCGUAGCAUCCAGCCAUGCCGCGCUGUGUGAAGAAGGCCUUCGGGUUGUAAAGCACUUUCAGUGGGGAGGAAAGGUUGAUGGUUAAUACCCAUCAGCUGUGACGUUACCCACAGAAGAAGCACCGGCUAACUCCGUGCCAGCAGCCGCGGUAAUACGGAGGGUGCAAGCGUUAAUCGGAAUUACUGGGCGUAAAGCGUGCGCAGGCGGUCUGUUAAGCGAGAUGUGAAAGCCCCGGGCUCAACCUGGGAACUGCAUUUCGAACUGGCAGACUAGAGUCUUGUAGAGGGGGUAGAAUUCCAGGUGUAGCGGUGAAAUGCGUAGAGAUCUGGAGGAAUACCGGUGGCGAAGGCGGCCCCCUGGACAAAGACUGACGCUCAGGCACGAAAGCGUGGGGAGCAAAACAGGAUUAGAUACCCUGGUAGCGAGUA